UGCGUCAGCUGAGAGCAGAGGGAAGGUGCCCAUUAAAUGAAAACGCAUUUAACAUGCAGGAGGUGGCUGUUACCUGUCCAUCAGGUUUGCAGCAUAAAGCCAAUAUGAUAUGAAACUUUGAAUGGCACGCAAAGAAAAUAAUGCAAAGGAUUGUAAGUGUUUCCAUAGGCAAAACAAUAAAUCCAGAUGGCAUGCUGGAUCAACCCGAGCCGAUGAAAAAUAACAGUGGAGGGCC
Sinocyclocheilus grahami is the source of this 235-nucleotide long non-coding RNA. RefSeq lists it as uncharacterized. The record is from RefSeq and is a predicted model, not a curated record. The transcript is spliced from 3 exons. Lineage: Eukaryota; Metazoa; Chordata; Actinopteri; Cypriniformes; Cyprinidae.